Molecule: ribosomal RNA, 468 nt
Filed under: uncultured bacterium
Lineage: Bacteria
Description: partial 16S ribosomal RNA
Rfam family: Bacterial small subunit ribosomal RNA
Source: RNAcentral
GACGAACGCUGGCGGCGUGCUUAACACAUGCAAGUCGAGCGGAAAGGCCCUGCUUUUGUUCGUUGCUCGAGUGGCGAACACGUGAGUAACACGUGAGUAACCUGCCCUUGACUUUCGGAUAACUUCAGGAAACUCCGGCUAAUACCGGAUAGAAGCUCCUGCUGCAUGUUGGUCGUUGGAAAGUUUCGGCUGUUGUGUAUGGACUCGCUGCUUAUCAGCUUGUUGGUAGGGUAGUUGCUUACCAAGGCUUUGACGGGUAGCCGGCCUGAGAGGGUGACCGGCCACAAGGGGACUAAGAGACGGAGCAGAAGCGUACGGGACGCAACAGGGGGGAAUAUUGCAGAAUGGCGGGAAGCGUGAUGUAGAAACGCUGGGAGCGGGAUGACGGCCUUCGGGUGGUAAACCGAUUUCGCAUGAGAUGAAGAGGGAGUGACGGUAAUGGGUAAAGAAGCAACGGCUAACUACGUG